Molecule: ribosomal RNA, 637 nt
Filed under: Pterulicium sp.
Lineage: Eukaryota; Fungi; Basidiomycota; Agaricomycetes; Agaricales; Pterulaceae
Description: partial large subunit ribosomal RNA
Rfam family: Eukaryotic large subunit ribosomal RNA
Source: RNAcentral
UUAAAAUCUGGCAGUCUUUGAUUGUCCGAGUUGUAAUUUAGAGAAGCGUUAUCCGCGUUGGACCGUGUACAAGUCUCCUGGAACGGAGCGUCAUAGAGGGUGAGAAUCCCGUCCAUGGCACGGACUACCAGUGCAUUGUGAUGCGCUCUCGAAGAGUCGAGUUGUUUGGGAAUGCAGCUCUAAAUGGGUGGUAAAUUCCAUCUAAAGCUAAAUAUAGGCGAGAGACCGAUAGCGAACAAGUACCGUGAGGGAAAGAUGAAAAGAACUUUGGAAAGAGAGUUAAACAGUACGUGAAAUUGUUGAAAGGGAAACGCUUGAAGUCAGUCGCGUUGUUCAGGGAUCAGCCUUGCUCUGCUUGGUGUACUUCCUGUUCGACGGGUCAGCAUCAGUUUCGACCGCUGGAAAAAGUGCGCAGGAAUGUGGCAUCCUCGGAUGUGUUAUAGCCUGUGUUCGUAUACAGCGGUUGGGACUGAGGAAUCAGCACUCGAUGCUUGGGAUGCUGGCAUAAUGGCUUUAAGCGACCCGUCUUGAAACACGGACCAAGGAGUCUAACAUGCCCGCGAGUGUUUGGGUGGAAAACCCGAGCGCGUAAUGAAAGUGAAAAGUUGGGAUCUCUGUCGUGGAGAGCACCGACGCC